GCUGGAAGUAGUCCAUUUGUUUAGAGUAUCACAAGUGUGUGUGUGGAAAUGCUCGGAUGAAGAACUGUCAAGUUACCACAGGGAGAUAAACAGGGUUAUCUGAGGCGGAAAGUUAGGCUGAUUCUCUGCUAGGAGGUCUCACAGGAUAUCAUUUCUUUAGUGAUGCUACCGUGGUGUAGGAUUUACUGGUUUCACCUGUCAAUAGCUACACCACAGUCAGUUUUAUAGGUUCAGAGACUAAAUGUGUCACUAUGCUAGAUCCUCAGGCUGGAAUUACACAGCAAGCAGACAUAGACAGGAAACGAAAGAAACUCAACUAUUUUUAGGCUGGUUAUAGUGGAAAAAGAAAAAUUUUAGAAAACAAAUCACUGGGCCAAGUGCAUUAAGAUGGAUAAAUGAGGAUGGAAAAGUUACACUCCAAAGAAACUUAGCUGCCAGUUAAUGUAAAUUUUUUAUCUUAAUUUGAAUAAGAUAUUGCUAAAUAUCAAUAUUCAAGUAUAUCAAAGCAUAACCAAUACACAUGCAUAUAUAUCACAUAUAUGUAUACUAUUUAUAUAGUGUCAUCAUAUUCCUUAUUUAAUAAACUUUCUAAGAGUUCUUACAAGAAAAUUCUUUCUAUAGUUAAAAUAAGGACAUUGCUAAGAAAUUACACAUCAAAUAAUGUCAUACACAGAAUUAUAGAAUAAUGAAAACAUUGAAUGCAUUUAAUUCCAUAUGCCUACUGUUUAUUGAAUUUCUAAUGUACAAUGUCACUGGACAAUAAAUAUGAAAAUAAAUAUGAAAUAGUUCCUAAUCUCCAGAAUUCCAUUGUCUAGGAGAGGAAACACAUGUGCAGUAGACCAUAAUAUAUAGAGAGAACUGAUAUGCGAGUUUAUGUGUAGUGUUUGGAAACCAAAGGAGGUAGAGAGAUUGAUUCUCGCUAUAAUAGGACAGAAUCCUGGUGAUAACAGAAAUGGCAUUUAAUUUAGACUUUAAAGUUUGUCAGUGGUUAAUAGUGUUAGUGGCAAUAUCUCUGUCUAAAGAAUGAAGGAUGAUGUUACAUAAAUGAGCAAGGAGACACACAGGCUGUAAGAGUGAAUGAGGACUAAUACACAGCAGGUAUAUUAGUCUGUUUUCACACUACUGUAAAGAUAUUACCGGAGACUGGGUAAUCUACAAACAAAAGAGGUUUAACUGACUCACAGUUCCACACGGCUGGAGAGGCCUCAGGAAACUUACAAUCAUGGCAGAAGACAAAGGGGCAUGUCUUACAAGGUAGCAGGAGAGAGAGAGCAGGGGAAAUGCCAGAGACUUAUCGAACAACCAGUUCUCAUGAGAACUCCCUCACUAUCAUGAGAACAGCAUGAGGGAAACCGCCCCCAUGAUCCAAUCAUCCCCCACAAAGUCCCCCCCUUGACACAUGGGGAUUACAAUUCGAGAUGAAAUUUGGGUGGGGAUGCAGAGCCAAAUCAUAUCAGUAGGCUAGCCUAGAUACGGAAGGGUUGCAAAUAUUUAAUUAGAAGUUUGGAUAUGGCAUUGGCUAGCUGGGUAAGGCUUUAAACAGAGGAACACAUGUAUGUAAGUGCUUCACAAAAAUAAUGUAGAAAGCAAUGAGGAAGAUAGAAGAGACUAGAGGGAAAUCAGGUAGGAGGGGUUUAGGAGUAAAACAAGAUGGAGAUUAAAGAGAUGCUUAUUUGGAAAGUAAGAGCAGGUAUUUAGAAAUACAAGAGCAGGCAUUUAGAAAUACAGAAAACAGCACAGGGAAGGGACUGGGAGUGAACUUUCAAAUGUUUUUAAACUAUCCUCCGUUCCAGAGUUUCAUAUUCUUUUGUGACCCCCUCACUGAAUUUCUUUGAUUUUUUUCUUAUCUAGUAUAGCAUUAUAUUGCAAAGCCUACUGCAUUAUUUCUUCUUUCAUUUUGGAUCGUUGGUCCUUGACUUGUGGUUAUUAACCCAGAAAUGAUUCUCUCAGAAGAGGCUCAGUUGCUGGUGUUAUCUCGGCUUCCUUGCAGUGGCCUGUGUCAAGGGAAUUUGUUUGAAAAGUAAAAAGUGUAUCUCUGUGCUUUUGGCAACCAGAAUCAAAACUCUAUCUUUCUUUGCUACACUUAACACCCUUUUAACUUCUCCGAUCAUUCUAACCAGUUCAGCUUCUGUUUUCUCUGUAUUGAAAGUGCAUGAAUCCAUGUCAUUGUAUCCUGGCCUCUUGACUAAAAUUACCAAUACAGCAUCAGGGCAACACUCCUAACUAUUCUGUUGUUGCUUAAAUAUUACAGAAAAAAAUUAAAUGGUCUAUAGCAUUUGACUUUCAUCUCUUUUAUGUAAAUAUGUAUUAGGUUUAUUUAGAAAUCUUAAAUUAGUUUCUUACAAAUACUUUUUGCCCCCUUCUAACAAAUUUAGGAUAAGCAAUACUUGGUAGUUUUUUGUGUCAUGAAUUAAUGGUAUACCAACAUAAAUAAAUCUUGUAAUAUUAAUUUUAUUAAGUAGGAGGUUAUGUUCUCAGUCUGUUUUUGUCUAAGAAAACAUAUAAAAUUGUAAAUGACUUGCUAGAAAAUUAAGAAAAAAUGUUUCUGAGUAUCCUCACAACUUACAGCUCUUUAAACGUAAAAUUAAAAUUAUUUUCCUCUAUUCUCAUGUUGCAUUUUGCAGAAAAAAUUCAUAUUAAUGCUGAUGAUAGUCCUUAUAAGUGUUACUUUUUAAUAUAAAUCUCAGUAUUAAAGAGAAAACUGGAGUUCUUAAAUAACUUAAAAUGCAAAGUAAGCAAAAAGAGCAUUUAAAUUACUAGAACUUCUUUAAAAUACAUUUUUUCUUAUGUUCUAAGUUCAUUUGCUUUGAUAUUGUUUAUACAUUUUUUGUUUGUGAAUUUUUGUUGUUAUUUGUAAUUAAGUUUAAAUUUUAAAAUCUUGAAAUAAUUUUUGCCCUUUUAUGAUAUACAGUGUAGUUUCUAUGCAGAUUAUCAUUGGAGUCUGCGUUAAAUUCAAAAUAUAUUCACACUAUUUCUUCAACUGAGUCUUUGAUAAGUUUAAGUACACUAAGUUUGUUUUACUAAAAGUGUUCACUUCUGAAUUAUAGUAACUUAAAAUACACAUCGCAGCUCUCUUUUGGAAAACGAUUGUGUAAUAAUUUAAACAAUGUAAGAGUUGAACAGUACAGCACAUGCUUUGCUUAUGUGCUGCAAACAGAUACAGGUUUCAAAUGAGCUUCAUUCUUCUGCACAAAAAAUGUUUAAAAUGUACAUGAUACUUGCAUUUGGCUAAAGAAAUCAUGAUGAAACUUCAAGGAAGAAGCAUGGACAGCCUACUUGCUCAUUAGUAUAGUGUGUACAAGCAGAUGAGAUUUUCAAUAUAUACAACUCACUAGACAACUACAUUUGUUUUUAGGUUCAAUGGUAAAUGGAUGGGGCUCUGCAUCUGAUGAGGAUCGUAACUUUUCUAGUCAUAGAUCUAGUGUAGGUAGCUCCUCAGAUGGCUCUAUCUUUGCCAGCGGCAGUUUUGCACAAGCACUGGUGGCAGCAGCAGAUAAAGCUGGUUUUAGGCUGGAUGGAACCAGCCUUACAAGAACAGGUUGGUAGACUCCAAGUCAACACUCUUUGCAUGAGAGAAUCUUGUCCUUGGACACUGACCUUUUUUCUCCUGUUCUUUCUCCUUAGUGAGUCUGACUGUAGGGCUUUCUUUAAUACGCAUGAAUACAGUUUGGAUGCUCCAUUACCCAAACUCUCUUCUGAUGCUAGUUUUGCAGAGCCAAGAAUAGACUCCUCCUCACCACUUUCUCUUAUUUUCCUUUCUCUUCACGGCUUUGCUGAUUAAUUGGAAUAUGCUUCCUUUUUAUAUUACGGCAAAGCAGCAACUAAGAUUGCCAUUAAAUUUUUAAUAACUCACAUUUUGCAAAAUCCUCAUACAAUUAAUAAUGUACCCAGUGAUUAAAAUUACUCAGCUUUUAUCUCCGUUACUUUCCUUUGCCUCAUCUCUUUCUGCAAAUGCAUUUUCUGGGAAGGUUUCCUUAGCAUGGGGUGAAUGGGUCUAAGGUUGUCGGUCUUACCAGUUCAAAUAGCUUAUGAUCUUAUUAAUUGUUUGGCUAGUAAGAUUUUAAUACAAUAAUUUAUUAUUUGUCUUAAAGGAUGCUAAUUAAAGAUACACCCACUGCAUUUGCAAGUUGAAUAAAAUAAUGACUACAUGUGUAUUUCUCUUUAGAAUAAUUUAAUUUUGAUUUCUGAGAGUGAUAAGUAAUCAUAUAAAAGAACAAUUGUAUAAUUUUUCAAGUGCUGCUCAUUCCACAAAAAAGAAUGUGGGAUUAAUAAUAGAUCAGUAAUUUGUAAACUUUUGCAACAAAAUAACUUAGGCAUGAUGCGUGCUUUUACAUUUGUAUGUAUAAUUCUUAACUAUACAUAUAAGAAUAUUCUAAUAUAUGAAUUAAACUGAAUUACCUUGCAAAGCAAACUAAUAAAACAUUAAGUACAUUUGCAAAAUCUUAACUGUAAUCAAAUAGUAAAGAAAAAAGAUUUUUACCCUUCACUAAACUCUCAGGUUAUAAAAAUGAGUCUUGGAAGUUUUCUUGGAAUUAUACCAUCAAUAUUUCUUUUGAGCAUACAUUAGCUAUCUUUAAAUGAAAUAAAAAAGAUCUUCUAAGCAUUGCAGAGGUUUAUUUUUCAAAUAGCAUCCAAACUAAAAUACGUUGUAAUAGAACUGUUAUUUGAAUUGUCUUGCAUUAUAAGGCAUAAGUCUGAAACUUUAUGUUGCUUGAGUGCUUUUUGCAGCAUUAGCUGUAAACAGAGCAGUGAGAACAUGCAAGGAAACUAAUACAUUAGAAGGCACAAGUGCAUUUCCUGCAUCUAUGCUAAUAGCUAACACAGCAUUAAGUAAUAUCAUAUCACGUCGACGUAAGAAAAUGUAACUACAUAUAAUAAUGUUGUAUGAAAUGAAAACAUACACAGGAGAAUAAAUGCAUGCACAUAAACCAGGCCUCUGUUACUAUAAUAAACAUGGUAUUGAAAUCACAAGUUGUUGAAAAUUUAUUAGCUAACCUUUUCCCAGAAUAAAUUUCCCUGUAUACCUACUCUAAACCACAAGAAAAGGACACAGCACAUAUCAUUUUUCAAUGAGAAUUUGGAGCCUGCUCAGAUACAAUAAUAUUAAUCAGAAAAUACCUAUUGCAUGCUGGAUAUACAAGGUGAUUUUAACCUGCUAUCCUCUACACAGAUGUUGUUGAGUUUCUGCCAAAAGAGAUAGAAUUCAUUGUGUAUGUGGAUAAGUGGUAAGGUCAAUUUAAUGUAUGUGUCUGAGCAGACCUUUCAUGUAAAAUUUCAGAUGUAAUUACUACAUGACAUUUUUCUGUGUUCAGAGAGAUUUUGUAAGUUUCCAAGGAUGAAAUUUUAUUAAACAAAUACAACAGUAUAUACUUCAUAAAUAGCUUCUUUAAUUUUAAGAACUAAAAACUGCAUGAAUUUGCAUAUAUCUUUGACAAUAUCAAUAAUAUUGUCAAGGUUAAAUAAAAGUAUAAUCAUGCAAUAUUGAGUUUUGGAUUGGUGGAUCUGUUUUAUGUUCAUUUGUCUGAUUUUGAGGGGGCCAGUGGGGGUGUUGUUAGCUUAUUAAAAAUUGAACAAAAUAUGUGCAGCUGAGAAUGUAGAAAAUACAUUUUUCUACAGAGAUGCACCAAUAUUUGGUAUCUUCAUAUGUUAUCUCUAGGUAGAUUUACAGGUUAGUCAUAGUGCAGAAAUAUAGGACAGAAUCAGUGUGCUAUAAUGACAUUCUCUAGAACCCAUUCCCUUUAUUUUCAUUUUAGGAAAAGCCUUUACCUCCUCUCAAAGACCUCGACCUACCAGCCCAUUUUCUACUGACAGUAACACCAGUGCAGCCCUGAGUCAAAGUCAGAGGCCUCGGCCCACUAAAAAACACAAGGGAGGGCGGAUGGACCAACAACCAGCAUUGCCUCAUCGAAGGGAAGGAAUGACAGAUGAGGAGGCCUUGGUGCCCUAUAGCAAGCCCAGUUUCCCAUCUCCAGGUGGCCACAGCUCAUCAGGAACAGCUUCUUCUAAGGGAUCCACUGGACCUAGGAAAACCGAGGUGUUGAGAGCAGGCCACCAGCGCAAUGCCAGCGACCUUCUUGACAUAGGAUAUAUGGGCUCCAACAGUCAAGGACAGUUUACAGGUGAAUUAUAGUAAAUGAGAGGAGACAUACAAAGCUGCUCUGAAGGACCAUCAGGUCCGGACUCAUGGAAGUGAUGACUCUAAACAGUGCAAUGAACAAUUUAUUUAUGUACUAUUAAAAGAACUGUAAAUGCAAUGUAAAGACACACAGCCACACAUAUCCCACAGAUAUUUUCAUUGUGUUCUUCUCCUAAGUACACCACCCACCUUAACUCUUUCUUGUCAGGAGUAUAUAAAAAAGAAAGAAAACAAAACUCGCCCUACAGGAAGAAAAGGAUUCUCCUCUGUAUAUAAUUUCUUUUGUGCAUUGCUAUGCAAGCUCACUCUUUUUAGCUCUGCUCAUAUUAUUGUCUGUUCUUAUUGGUCUGUUGUACUAUAUGUGAAUUAAUAGGCUGUGGUGCCAUAUAUUAACUUUUAAUUGUGUAACUUUUAUGUUUAAAUUUUGCACUGCAAUUUUAUUUGGUGAUAAGCACAAAUCUCUACUCCUCAUGACAUGAAGAAAAAGACUGAAUGUGAAGGGAGUUUCUGUACUGUAAGCUAGAUUGGAUAAUGAUGGCUGUAACAAAUCAUGUUAGAUGGUUUUCAGUUGGGGUGUAGAAAUAGGAAGAUGCAAAGGAACAAUGGUGUUGGCAAAGUCUUCUUUGAAUAUCAGGGACUGAGUCAAUAAAAAAAAUAGUAGAAAGGUGGCUUUUACUAUUGACAAAAGCAGGGGUCAAAAAAAAGUAGUCUAAGUCUUAAGACUGAAUAUGCAUUAAAGUAUGCAGGUAGCAAAGAUGUAAUAAAUUUGCUUAAAAAAAGAAAUUAAAGUUUUAUUUAGAAUCAAUUUUACCUGUCAUUGUAAUUGACCCAUCUGAGAAUUACAAUAAGCAAGAGGAAAUUAAGGUGUUUUGCAAGAGCUGUAUUUAUAUUACAGUUUUUUAAAAACAUUUUCUGAAUUAUCAUAAUUAAGCUCUCCAACUCAUUAAGUCAGAAUAUAAUAUGAAGUUCCCCAAGGAAAUGAACAAAAUGAACUCUAGAAUAUCUAGCAAAUAGUUAAAGAAGCAAUUUAUUAUUAGGCAUACUCGGGCUGUUUCCAAAUAUAAACUCUAUUGCAAUAUCUUAUUUCAUCUUUCUAAUACAUGUACAGUGCACACUAGAGGAUAGAGCUGCAUCACUUAAAUUCAUGACUUAAAAAAUAAUACAGUUUAUAUACAAUUUGUUUUUUAUUUGAUUAAGAAGUGAAGUUUAUGCCACCCAAUGUAUAGCCAAAUUGUACGUGCUUAAAAAGCAGUGCCGAGAGUAUGUUCAGUUCACAGUAAGUAGACUUAUUGGAAUAAAUAUUCUAUGGUACAUUCUCAGAAAUUGGCUUCCAACUAAAAUACGUUUGACCCAUUUUGAAUAAGGAAAUUGAAAAGAAAAAUUUAAAAGGAGAAAAAAUUGCAUGUUUAUAAACUUUUUAAAUAAAACCAGACCUUGUAAGUGGACAUUAAUAAUUGUCCUGCCUCAUUUGUUUUCACGACUUUGACAACAAGAAGUUCCUGAACAUUAGUCAUGUAUGCUCAGAAUAAAUGUGACUUUGAAAUAUAUGUUAGCUACUGUACAUGUAUAGUCAGUCAAGUAGAAGAGGACCUUCCUGAAAUUCCCACUUGUGACAUUUUCCCAUGGGUUUCCUACACAAUCUUAAAUUUUAUUUCUGUCUAUACUUUCUCAAAUUUUUCCUAUGAUAAGUUCAGUUGUUGGUACUCUUCUAAAAAUAUUCAACGUGAUUAGGAUCAGUUCUAAAAUAUGGGACCCCUUUGAGUGACAAUUCGCACUCCAUGCAUUAUUGGCUCAGUAGCCAAUUUUUGUCACGUCGUUAUAACAAGGAGAUGACAUAAUUAAACAUUUCCAUCGUUUCUAUUCCCUGGGACUGCAUCAGCACAGGCAAGUAUAGAAUGUAAUGUUCUUCAUGGGCCCCACCAGCUUUUUGGUGCCAUGUAAUUUAUUUCUUCGCUGAAGAGAAAAAGAAUUCUGAGACACAGUUAUUAAACCCUUUAUCAACUUUCUACCAUCAGUGCCUGAAUUCUAAUGCAGUGUGAUUUCUCUGGGACAAAGAGACUGAGGAAGAUGAAAAGUUUCUUCAAAGAGUGAAUACAUACUUAUUCACAACUCUAGGAUGUGAGGACUUUAAAUAUCUCUUUAUGAAGUUCCCUGCCUAACCUCUUUCUAUUUAAAGGCAAACAAAUUUCGAAGAGGUUUUGUGUUCCCUCUUUAUGUUUCUCUAUGACCCAGUUUAGUCUAAAACCUUAGUUCAUUACAUAUACAACACAUAGCCUUUGAUCCCUGGUAACUGGCAGGUGUUGGUGAUUAAUAAACCAAGGCUUCAAAGUGAAGUAUGUGUGUGCAGAUGACUUUUAGAAUAACGUGGGCAUAGCAUCAUACCUUCCUGAUUGUCUUCAGCAUAUAAAAAUUAACUGUUGUAGUUAAAAUUAUGUCAGUGCAGAGCUUGUGGUUACUUGGAAUGUUCUUUCAGAAUAGUCCAUGUUGCCUAUUAAACCUAGUUUUAAACACAUUGGGCAGUCAAUUUAUGCACCCAAAAUAUCACCCUCAGGUAGAUUGAGGGCAAGAUAAAAUGCUGUAGCUAUACAAAGGAAUUCAGAAACAUUAUUGGAAAGCAAAGCCUUUGUCAGCUUGCUACUGACAAAGUAGUAAAAAGCUACUAAUCAGUGUGAGUCAGAUGUCAACAGAAAAAUACAAAUACCUAUGAGAGCCACAGCAGUUUCUCAUUUCAUAGCCGAUUCAAUGAAUGUGAUUAGAAAUUCACUGAGCUCACUCUUGCAGGUUUAAACGGAGGCCUGCAUAAGGACUGCAGGAGGAAAUCUGGGUGGGAGAGAAUGUAAUCUGAUCUUGCACUCAUAGGCAAUGCUGCAAUGCAAUCAGGUCCAAUACAAGCACAGCUUCAUUCAUAACAGGAAACGUCUUCUUUGGGAAAAUAGCUCUAUUGGUGCCCAAACUCAGGUAUGCCAGUGUAUGCAGGUGGAGUCGCCCUACCCCUCUUCCAAACAUGUCCUGUGAGAUUUUUAAAAUAAGAUGGGAUAGUACAGGGGCAUGAAAAGAAUUGAUUCCUUCACAGGAUUUGAAUCCAGUUCAAGGGAGAAUGUAGAAAAUUCAAAACCAACAUAUAAGGUAUCACACAACCAAGAAAAGUAAAAUCAUUGCAAGUUUACUUGCGUUGAGUACAAAACAGAUUUAAUGGUGUUCUAUGUCAUAGUUUAAUGCUCUGGGUAUUUAAAUAUGUUUUCAACAGGAUUUGAGUUGAAAGUUUGUAAUGUGCUUUGAUGGAACACCUCUCAAUUUCUAUUCAAUAAAUUUAUGUAAUUGUCCAUUGACAAUAUAAUGAUAACAGUACCAUUGAACUCUAAACUGUGGUUUAUCUUCACUGCUGGGAAGCAACUGUGCAUCAGUAUUAAAGAUAUGCAGAAACAUAAUAUUCA
This 9570-nucleotide small RNA is filed under the name Pan troglodytes (chimpanzee). Its description in RNAcentral is "retained intron". The record is from RNAcentral. Lineage: Eukaryota; Metazoa; Chordata; Mammalia; Primates; Hominidae.